UGUGCCAGCAGCCGCGGUAAUACGUAGGGUGCGAGCGUUAAUCGGAAUUACUGGGCGUAAAGCGAGCGCAGACGGUUACUUAAGCAGGAUGUGAAAUCCCCGGGCUCAACCUGGGAACUGCGUUCUGAACUGGGUGACUAGAGUGUGUCAGAGGGAGGUAGAAUUCCACGUGUAGCAGUGAAAUGCGUAGAGAUGUGGAGGAAUACCGAUGGCGAAGGCAGCCUCCCUGGGAUAACACUGACGUUCAUGCUCGAAAGCGUGGGUAGCAAACAGGAUUAG
RNAcentral lists this ribosomal RNA (279 nucleotides) under uncultured Neisseriales bacterium. RNAcentral describes it as "partial 16S ribosomal RNA". It matches the Rfam family "Bacterial small subunit ribosomal RNA", at positions 504 to 781 of the family's 1533-position model. Lineage: Bacteria; Pseudomonadati; Pseudomonadota; Betaproteobacteria; Neisseriales. The record is from RNAcentral.